UAGGGAAUAUUGGGCAAUGGAGGCAACUCUGACCCAGCCAUGCCGCGUGCAGGAAGAAGGCCCUCUGGGUUGUAAACUGCUUUUGAACGGGAAGAAAAGCCCAUGCGUGGGUCUAUGACGGUACCGUUAGAAUAAGCCACGGCUAACUACGUGCCAGCAGCCGCGGUAAUACGUAGGUGGCAAGCGUUGUCCGGAUUUAUUGGGUUUAAAGGGUGCGUAGGCGGCCCCGUAAGUCAGUGGUGAAAUACCGCAGCUCAACUGUGGGGGUGCCAUUGAUACUGCGGGGCUUGAGUGGAGUCGGGGUGGCCGGAAUUUACGGUGUAGCGGUGAAAUGCAUAGAUACCGUAAAGAACACCGAUAGCGAAGGCAGGCCACUGGGCUCCAACUGACGCUGAGGCACGAAAGCGUGGGGAUCAAACAGGAUUAGAUACCCGCGUAGUCC
Molecule: ribosomal RNA, 442 nt
Filed under: uncultured bacterium
Lineage: Bacteria
Description: bacterial SSU rRNA
Rfam family: Bacterial small subunit ribosomal RNA
Source: RNAcentral